This is a non-coding RNA of Pelobates cultripes (western spadefoot toad), 590 nucleotides long. NCBI's taxonomy places the organism in Eukaryota, Metazoa, Chordata, Amphibia, Anura, Pelobatidae. The record is from the annotation of a GenBank genome assembly.
CCAAAGGAAAGGAAGUUGCCUAAUAAUUAUGCACACCUGAUAUAGGGUGUUGAUGUCAUUAGACCACACCCCUUCUCAUUACAGAGAUGCACAUCACCUAAUAUGCUUAAUUGGUAGUAGGCUUUCGAGCCUAUACAGCUUGGAGUAAGACAACAUGCAUAAAGAGGAUGAUGUGGUCAAAAUACUAAUUUGCCUAAUAAUUCUGCACUCCCUGUAUAGGUUAAUAUGGAGACUUGGGACAAUAGGCAGCAAAGGGAAUUUGAAGGUGAUGGCCAGAGAGAAUUAAAAGAUAAUUGUUGCCACUGGGAGUAGUGAGAUCUCAAGCAGCUGAAGGAGCAGGCUAUAAAAGAAAGAAGGAAACUGGGUGGACAGGUUAAUGCUUACUGAAAAUGAAGUUUAUUUUUGUUGUUGGAUGGUUAGGUGGAAGCCUCUGAAGAGGAAUGGAGAAACACAGUUUGGUGAAGGUAUUUACUGCUAGGAGGGGCAAGGAAUGGAGAAAGAAAAGUUGUGGGUGUACAUUCGUUGUAUACAAAAUGUUAUCACCCAAAAUAUUAAUACAUAUAUGUAUAUUAAAUAUUGGUGAAAUACAU